CAGUUUUGUGGUUACAGAGCAUCAACCAGGCAGGGAAAUACCUCAAGGAAGAGCUAGGCCAGAAGGAGCAGGUAUUCAACUACAUGGCAAGUGUCGGCUAUGGCAGCAUUUUCACCUUUGAGUGAGAAACUUGUGGGUUCAAGCCCAACUCCAGAGAUCUGAGCACAAAAUCUAGGCAGGCACACUGCUCAUUGAGUGCUGAGGGAGUACAGCACUGUCAGUGAUGCUAUCCUUUUGGCAUUAAACUGAAGCCGGGUGGACAUAAAUGAUCAUAUGGCACAGUUUCAAAGAAGAACAGAGGAGUCCUCCACAGUGUUCUGAACAAUAUUUAUCCUUCAAUUAACAUCACUAAUAAACAGAUUACCUGGUCAUA
This is a long non-coding RNA of Carcharodon carcharias (great white shark), 373 nucleotides long. RefSeq lists it as uncharacterized. The record is from RefSeq and is a predicted model, not a curated record. Lineage: Eukaryota; Metazoa; Chordata; Chondrichthyes; Lamniformes; Lamnidae. The transcript is spliced from 2 exons.